Long non-coding RNA from Folsomia candida, 1237 nucleotides. RefSeq lists it as uncharacterized. The transcript has 5 exons. The record is from RefSeq and is a predicted model, not a curated record. Lineage: Eukaryota; Metazoa; Arthropoda; Collembola; Entomobryomorpha; Isotomidae.
UACAUAAAACUCGCCUUAAUUCAAAUAAGUCUCAUCACAUUUAAAGCAAUUCUAAUGUUAUCAACACCUUCAAAAUGAGCAACGAACUUUCAAACUCGUUUUCCAUACAAUAAACGCUGUCGAAUUUUCUGGAGAGUGGAGAUUUAGCCGACGUGGAAUUUAUCGUAGGUCAGGAAAAAGUGGGAAUUAAAGCGCACACAAUUUUUUUGCUCAUGCGAAGUUAUGUCUCUGGUUCCAUGUUGAGUUCUCGGUGGCUCUGUGACACAGAAAGUGGUGCUAAGAGUAGAACUCCCUUAUUUCGAACCAGCCGUUUUUAAAACGUUUCUAAAGUACUUGUACACGGAUCAAGUCAUCAUUAGUAGGGAACGAGCUGAUUAACCUCUUCAUAAUGGCUGACAUGUACGGGAUAAUCCCACUCCAAGAAAAAAUCUUGACCACUCUCGAGUCUAGUCUUUCCAUGAAUAAUUGCGUCAAUAUUUACGAAUCUACGAAAUUCCUAAAUGAGGAGUUAAGCAGGAAAGCGAUGGAGUUUAUAAAGGGAAGCAUUUCACAAUUGCUGCACCACAACGUAUAUCUGAACACGGGUAAGGAUGGACACUGAAGUUCAGAUACGUGGACAGAAAUUCUCCAAUCGGACGGCAUGGUUGUGGAAGAGGUCAAACUUUUUGUUGCGAUGGUCAAAUUGGCGGAAGGAGAUGAGACACGUUUGCAACAUUUACCAUCCACUCUGCUCCAACUGAUUCGUUAUGCAAUCAUGACGUCAGAAGAAUUUGCCAAGUUUGUCGUGCCUACUGGAUUACUAGAAAAUAUUGCCAUUAUUAAAAUGUUGCUCUUUUAUUUUACAUCGAUUCCAAAGGAUGGAGAUGGUCACACUAUUUCCAACCUAGUUUGUGUCAACCGGGGUCAAUAUCGAGGGAAAGGGUGCAGGUCACUCUGUCCUUGGUGUGGCCUCCAUCCAGAGCACGGAUGGCCAGAGUAGAUGCGAAUUUAGUACUGCCGUCUCCAUGAUGGGAGGAACUGGACACACGCUCCAAGAUAUUUCUGGGGAUUGGUAUUUACGAUUUGGAGAAGGAAGUGAAACCGUCGAUGUGACCUACUUGGCGUCACGCUGGACGGGAGGGGGCAUGACUUUGUCGGACUCAAGGCAAGAAAAUGGGUCAAGGUUAAAGGAGAUGGGCAUUCUUUUGAUGCUUUGUGCCAAGCUGGGAGGUGGGAUGGAAGGAGAGACAACAAUUAA